GACGAACGUUGGCGGCGUGCUUAAUACAUGCAAGUCAACUGAAGCAGUGGUAGCAAUAUCGCUGUGGAGGUGGCGCACGGGUGAGUAACACGUAGGUAAUCUGCCUUCAGGUCUGGCAUAACUCCGGGAAACCGGGGCUAAUAGCAGAUGAUGCAGCGGCUCGACAUCGAGACAGUUGUUAAAGCUAUGGCGCCUGAAGAUGAGCCUGCGUCUGAUUAGCUAGUUGGCGGGGUAACGGCCCACCAAGGCAACGAUCAGUAGCUGGACUGAGAGGAUGAUCAGCCACACUGGAACUGAGACACGGUCCAGACUCCUACGCGAGGCAGCAGCAAGGAAUAUUGCUCAAUGGGAGAAAUCCUGAAGCGGCAACGCCGCGUGAGGGACGAAGGGCUUUUGCUUGUAAACCUCUGUAGUGAGAGAAAAAAAUCCCAAUCUUUGGGACAUGAUGGUAUCUCAAAAGUAAGCCCCGGCUAACUACGUG
Molecule: ribosomal RNA, 481 nt
Filed under: uncultured bacterium
Lineage: Bacteria
Description: partial 16S ribosomal RNA
Rfam family: Bacterial small subunit ribosomal RNA
Source: RNAcentral